AGUACAACUUCUGGAUCAUAUGGUAAGAGGAUGUUUAUAUUUUAAGAAACUGCCAAAUGGUAUUCCAACAUGGUUGUUCCAUUUUGCAUUCCCAUGAGCAGU
Molecule: microRNA precursor, 102 nt
Filed under: Marmota monax (woodchuck)
Lineage: Eukaryota; Metazoa; Chordata; Mammalia; Rodentia; Sciuridae
Source: RNAcentral